GAAAUGCGAUAAGUAAUGUGAAUUGCAGAAUUCAGUGAAUCAUCGAAUCUUUGAACGCACAUUGCGCCCUUUGGCAUUCCGAAGGGCAUGCCUGUUCGAGCGUCAUUACACCAAUCAAGCCUGGCUUGGUAUUGGGCGACGGGGUCGGUCGAACCACCCCCCGCCCCAAAGACCUUUCCGGCGGAACGGACCGAAUCUCAGCGUUGUGCAAACGUGUCGCUGGCGAGACGGGACGGCCGUGCCGUUAAACCCCAUUUUCUUCAAGGUUGACCUCGGAUCAGGUAGGGAUACCCGCUGAACUUAAGC
Molecule: unclassified non-coding RNA, 306 nt
Filed under: plant metagenome
Description: partial contains 5.8S ribosomal RNA, internal transcribed spacer 2, and large subunit ribosomal RNA
Rfam family: 5.8S ribosomal RNA (bases 1-105)
Source: RNAcentral